AGGAGGGGCAGAUUCGACUUUUCACAAUUAAAUUUGGGAGAGGUAUUUAAGGAACACAUCCCUCGCAAACCCUAGCCACUUCCCUCAUUUUCCUUCAGCUCUCUCUCUCUCUACCCGACACUCUCUCUCUCAUCCUCCUUGCCGGAAAUCGCCGCCGUCGCCGGAAUCCCAAUCCUCACCAAAAUUUCCAGAUUUUCUUCUCUUCCUUCCCUCUUUCCAUUUCUCCAACCAAAACCAAGAAAUUUGGCCAUCCAACCCUCCAAAAACCCUAGAACCCGAAGCUAAAUUGGGGCUUUUUGUGAUUUCUUCUUUCCAAGCUUAAAUCAAGGCUAUGGGUUUGGCAAGGAUUUUUGGUGAAGAAGGCCAAGGAGAAGGAAUAGGACGUGAU
Rosa chinensis is the source of this 388-nucleotide long non-coding RNA. RefSeq lists it as uncharacterized. NCBI's taxonomy places the organism in Eukaryota, Viridiplantae, Streptophyta, Magnoliopsida, Rosales, Rosaceae. The transcript has 3 exons. The record is from RefSeq and is a predicted model, not a curated record.